UCAAAUAUGUACUUGGCAUAUACAGCACAGUUUAAUUCAUAACAUAUACAACAGUUUAAUUGUGUUCUUCCUCCUAACAUGUGUGGGUCAGGCUGACUUCUGAAACACUCCUGCUUUAGGAGGAAAAGCUCAGCUGCACUCGGACAGUUUUUCGCUGGGACUCAGAAUAAUGCUGCUUUGGACCACUCUGUACAAGGUAUCUGAUAGUUGAAAACCAGGUGACUGACCCACUUGCUUUGAGCAGUUUCAUGGGUGCUUUCGUAAUUGGUAUUUGGUGUUCCUCUUAUUCAGAGACCUGUGACAACUUUGCUUGGUGCACUGUUCCAAAGGCUCUGCA
Molecule: long non-coding RNA, 337 nt
Organism: Sphaeramia orbicularis (orbiculate cardinalfish)
Lineage: Eukaryota; Metazoa; Chordata; Actinopteri; Kurtiformes; Apogonidae
Exons: 3
Source: RefSeq, a predicted model, not a curated record